GAUAACUAUAUUUCAUAUGUGCGUACCUUGCAAGGUCCUCAUGUCUGUCAGACAGUUUUCACUUGACCUCGACCUCAUUUCAUGGAUCAGUGAACAAGGUUAAGUUUUGGUGGUCAAGUCCAUAUCUCAGAUACUAUAAGCAAUAGGGCUAGUAUAUUCGGUGUAUGGAAGGACUGUAAGGUGUACAUGUCCAACUGGCAGGUGUCAUCUGACCUUGACCUCAUUUUCAUGGUUCAGUGGUUAUAGUUAAAUUUUUGUGUUUUGGUCUGUUUUUCUCAUACUAUAUGCAGUAGGUCUUCUAUAUUUGUUGUAUGGAAUGAUUGUAAGGUGUACAUGUCUAGCGAGCAUAGUCAUGUGACCUUGACCCCAUUUUCAUGGUUCAGUGGUUAUAGUUAAAUUUUUGAGUUUUGGUCUUUUUAUCUAAUACUAUAUGCCAUAGGUCAACUAUAUUUGGUGUAUGGAAACAUUUCAUGAUCUUUAUGUCAGUGGCGCAGGUUUUAUAAGACCGUGACCUCAUUUUCACGGUUCAUUGCACAGUGUUGAGUUUUUGUGUUUUGGUCUAUUUUUCUUAAACUAUAAGUAAUGGGUCAACUAUAUAUGUUGUAUAGAAGCAUUGUUAGCUGUACAUGUCUGCCUGGCAUGGUUCAUCUGACCUUGACCUCAUUUUCAAGGUUCAUUGGUCUUUGUUUAGUUAUCUUGGUUAAUGUUAAGUUUAUGUGACAGUUGUAAUAAAGCUUAGCUGUAUACUUAGGACUAUCAACAUAAUAUCAAUAAUUAUAGUAUAGAAGGCGAGACAUUUCAGCGUGUGCACUCUUGUCUUAAAACUAUA
Molecule: long non-coding RNA, 829 nt
Filed under: Mytilus galloprovincialis (Mediterranean mussel)
Lineage: Eukaryota; Metazoa; Mollusca; Bivalvia; Mytilida; Mytilidae
Source: RNAcentral